This 846-nucleotide ribosomal RNA is filed under the name uncultured bacterium. RNAcentral's name for it is "bacterial SSU rRNA". It matches the Rfam family "Bacterial small subunit ribosomal RNA", at positions 28 to 896 of the family's 1533-position model. The record is from RNAcentral.
GAUGAACGCUGGCGGCGUGCCUAAUACAUGCAAGUCGAACGGUGGAGAGCAAUCUCCAUAGUGGCGAACAGGUGAGUAACGCGUUGGUAACCUGCCCCGGAGUGUGGGAUAACAGGCCGAAAGGCUUGCUAAUACCGCAUGGGCAACUGAGGAAUAGCAGCUUAGUUGCAAAGGAGUAAUCCGCUCUGGGAGGGGCCUGCGACCCAUCAGCUAGUUGGUAAGGUAACGGCCUACCAAGGCGAUGACGGGUAGGGGACCUGAGAGGGUGACCCCCCACAAUGGAACUGAAACACGGUCCAUACACCUACGGGUGGCAGCAGUAGGGAAUAUUGCAUAAUGGGCGAAAGCCUGAUGCAGCAACGCCGCGUGUGCGAUGAAGGCCUUCGGGUUGUAAAGCACUUUUGAUCGGGAAGAGGAAGGACGGUACCGGUCGAAUAAGCCUCGGCUAACUACGUGCCAGCAGCCGCGGUAAAACGUAGGAGGCGAGCGUUAUCCGGAUUUACUGGGUGUAAAGCGCGUGCAGGCGGUUGACUAAGUUGGAUGUGAAAGCUCCUGGCUCAACUAGGAGAGGUCGUUCAAGACUGGUCGACUGGAGAGCAGUAGAGGAAGGUGGAAUUCCGGGUGUAGUGGUGAAAUGCGUAGAUAUCCGGAGGAACACCAGUGGCGAAAGCGGCCUUCUGGACUGCAUCUGACGCUCAGACGCGAAAGCUAGGGGGGCAAACGGGAUUAGAGACCCCGGUAGUCCUAGCUGUAAACGAUGUGAACUUGGCGCUGGUUGGGUAAAACCGAUCCGUGCCGGAGCAAACGCGAUAAGUUCACCACCUGAGGACUACGGCCGCAAGGUUA